This 252-nucleotide ribosomal RNA is filed under the name uncultured bacterium. RNAcentral describes it as "partial 16S ribosomal RNA". It matches the Rfam family "Bacterial small subunit ribosomal RNA", at positions 524 to 776 of the family's 1533-position model. The record is from RNAcentral.
UACGUAGGUCCCGAGCGUUGUCCGGAUUUAUUGGGCGCAAAGCGAGCGCAGGUGGUUUAUUAAGUCUGGUGUAAAAGGCAGUGGCUCAACCAUUGUAUGCAUUGGAAACUGGUAGACUUGAGUGCAGGAGAGGAAAGCGGAAUUCCUAGUGUAGCGGUGAAAUGCGUAGAUAUUAGGAGGAACACCAGUGGCGAAGGCGGCUUUCUGGACUGUAACUGACACUGAGGUACGAAAGCGUGGGGAGCAAACAGG